GGAUGGCUUCAGUCUCGGUUAGCACCUUGAAUGCGACCCAGUGUAGCUUAGUGAGAGCGUGAGACGAACAGCCUCAGCAUGCCGCUGCUGAAGAGGAACAUCACCGACACCAGUUUCGUCAUCAGCAUCGAGAGUGGCGUCGAAGAGAUCGAGGAGGAAAAGCACCCAACGCCAGCCGCCAACGAAGAUUGUGAUUUUCUCGUGAAUUUCAUCACCGGCCAAGAAUCACUGUCCGCCAGCUUUUGCUGCAAGCUUUUCUACACGAUAUUCCGUCUCUGCUUCGCGGGCGACGAAAGCGCCGGGGAUCGAUUGCGGACGGCGAUGAAGAAACGGUCCACGACUCAUACCAUUUGAAUAGUCGAACCUACAGUCAGUGACAAAAGUUAGUAACAAAAUGCUGUUUUAGCAUACAAAAUGCCCAAGAUUGGGACUCGGUAGCAUAGCUUCUGAUAGUGAGAAUUGGCUUAAAUUUGAUUUACGAUUAACAAAAAUCUGAAGUUUUGGCUAUAUUGAACUUAGAUAUUAAAUUUCAGUCAUUUUUUAAAGAAUUGACUUUUUUUUUUAAUUAAAUUAAAAAUUUCUCAGUGACUUCCUUUUGUCUUCGAACAUUUCUCUGAAUCUCUUUGAAAAAUGUCUGAAAUUUCACGAAUUUAUCAUAGACAAAAUUUCAGGUUAUUUUGCUGUUCGUCAUUCAAAUUUCAGCCAAUUCGGACAACCAGUUCUCCAAUUCUGGGCGUUUUGUAUGAAGCAUUUGGUUACUAACGUUUGUAACUGACUGUAUCUUGCAGCAGUAUGAUCAGACACCGCCUGCUGCCAUUCGCUGCAGGCCCACGUGGAUGAAACUCGAAGGUCGAUUGCGACCGAGACGAGCCCAUUAGCAUCGAAGCAAGCCAAAAAAUGCAUACCAACUCUGAGAAGCAAUGCUCACGUUAUGAAUGAGUGGACAGCGUGUGAGAUGAUAUUUUAUACCUUUCUUAGUGCAAUAGAAGCCCUUUAGGAUAGGCCUUCGUCUAACCUUAUAAAACGGUUAUAAAACCUGUCUGGUGAAGAUUGAAGUUUCGUGAACUGGUUUUCAACUUCGACCAAUACAUUUUUGAACCGAGCACGUGUGACUGCAGUAGUAAAGCAAUAAAGCACUAACUUAUAAACAUUAAGCUCAGUCGUUCGUAAUUGAACACCGUACUACUCGUAAGAAAUGUAUAUAGUUUUAUUAUAAGCGAACGGUAAGUGCGAAAGAUCGAUAUUGUGUAAUGAUACGAUUUUAAGAAGUAUGUGAAUAUAUGUUUGAAAACCUUCCAAAUCUA
Molecule: long non-coding RNA, 1304 nt
Organism: Aedes aegypti (yellow fever mosquito)
Lineage: Eukaryota; Metazoa; Arthropoda; Insecta; Diptera; Culicidae
Exons: 2
Source: RefSeq, a predicted model, not a curated record